UACAGAGGUCUCAAGCGUUGUUCGGAAUUACUGGGCGUAAAGGGUGCGCAGGCCGCGCGGGCAGUCAAAUGUGUAAUUCAGGGGCUCAACCCCUGCACUGCGCUUGAUACUUCCGCGCUCGAGCUUUGGAGGGGAGACUGGAAUACUUGGUGUAGCAGUGAAAUGCGUAGAUAUCAAGUGGAACACCAGUGGCGAAGGCGAGUCUCUGGACAUUUCCUGACGCUGAGGCACGAAAGCCAGGGGAGCAAACGGG
This 253-nucleotide ribosomal RNA is filed under the name uncultured bacterium. Its description in RNAcentral is "partial 16S ribosomal RNA". It matches the Rfam family "Bacterial small subunit ribosomal RNA", at positions 524 to 776 of the family's 1533-position model. The record is from RNAcentral.